GGGGAAUCUUAGACAAUGGGCGCAAGCCUGAUCUAGCCAUGCCGCGUGAGUGAUGAAGGCCCUAGGGUCGUAAAGCUCUUUCGCCAGGGAUGAUAAUGACAGUACCUGGUAAAGAAACCCCGGCUAACUCCGUGCCAGCAGCCGCGGUAAUACGGAGGGGGUUAGCGUUGUUCGGAAUUACUGGGCGUAAAGCGCACGUAGGCGGAUCAGCAAGUUGGGGGUGAAAUCCCGGGGCUCAACCCCGGAACGGCCUCCAAAACUGUUGGUCUUGAGUUCGAGAGAGGUGAGUGGAAUUCCGAGUGUAGAGGUGAAAUUCGUAGAUAUUCGGAGGAACACCAGUGGCGAAGGCGGCUCACUGGCUCGAUACUGACGCUGAGGUGCGAAAGCGUGGGGAGCAAAC
Molecule: ribosomal RNA, 400 nt
Filed under: uncultured bacterium
Lineage: Bacteria
Description: bacterial SSU rRNA
Rfam family: Bacterial small subunit ribosomal RNA
Source: RNAcentral